UGAGAACUGGUUUUGAUGGACU
Molecule: microRNA, 22 nt
Filed under: Python bivittatus (Burmese python)
Lineage: Eukaryota; Metazoa; Chordata; Lepidosauria; Squamata; Pythonidae
Description: pbv-miR-146b-5p
Gene: pbv-miR-146b-5p
Source: miRBase by way of RNAcentral